CGCGUCUUGACGGGGUGCUGGCGUCAGAACAUGUGACAGCUGGCUGAGAUUGCAUUGCAGAACCCGCAACCUGAUCCGGAUAAUACCGGCGUAGGGAUCCAAGAUAGUUUACUGC
Molecule: non-coding RNA, 115 nt
Filed under: Marinobacter sp.
Lineage: Bacteria; Pseudomonadati; Pseudomonadota; Gammaproteobacteria; Pseudomonadales; Marinobacteraceae
Description: TPP sequence
Rfam family: TPP riboswitch aptamer (THI element)
About the family: Vitamin B(1) in its active form thiamin pyrophosphate (TPP) is an essential coenzyme that is synthesised by coupling of pyrimidine and thiazole moieties in bacteria.
Source: RNAcentral